GAUAAGAACGCAGCGAAAUGCGAUAAGUAAUGUGAAUUGCAGAAUUCAGUGAAUCAUCGAAUCUUUGAACGCACAUUGCGCCCCCUGGUAUUCCGGGGGGCAUGCCUGUCCGAGCGUCAUUACAACCCUCAAGCUCAGCUUGGUGUUGGGCCCCGCCGCCCCGGCGGGCCCUAAAGUCAGUGGCGGUGCCGUCCGGCUCCGAGCGUAGUAAUUCUUCUCGCUCUGGAGGUCCGGUCGUGUGCUCGCCAGCAACCCCCAAUUUUUUCAGGUUGACCUCGGAUCAGGUAGGGAUACCCGCUGAACUUAAGCAUAUCAAUAAGCGGAGGA
Molecule: unclassified non-coding RNA, 327 nt
Filed under: soil metagenome
Description: partial contains 5.8S ribosomal RNA, internal transcribed spacer 2, and large subunit ribosomal RNA
Rfam family: 5.8S ribosomal RNA (bases 4-119)
Source: RNAcentral